This 253-nucleotide ribosomal RNA is filed under the name uncultured bacterium. RNAcentral's name for it is "partial 16S ribosomal RNA". It matches the Rfam family "Bacterial small subunit ribosomal RNA", at positions 524 to 776 of the family's 1533-position model. The record is from RNAcentral.
UACGUAGGGUGCGAGCGUUAAUCGGAAUUACUGGGCGUAAAGCGUGCGUAGGCGGUUCGUUAUGUCUGCUGUGAAAGCCCCGGGCUUAACCUGGGAAUGGCAGUGGAAACUGGCGGGCUUGAGUGUGGCAGAGGGGGGUGGAAUUCCGCGUGUAGCAGUGAAAUGCGUAGAGAUGCGGAGGAACACCGAUGGCGAAGGCAGCCCCCUGGGCUAACACUGACGCUGAGGCACGAAAGCGUGGGGAGCAAACAGG